UUUUUUCUUGGCUUUAUUGAGAAAAUUCUAUAUGUUGUAACAUAUUUCCACUUUAAAAUCGAGCAUUUCGGCAAUUUUAACCAAUCAAAUAUGUCCAUUUGGGGUGAAAACAUACCAUGCUGUAUGAAUAUGUCCCUUGUUUAAGAAACAGAUUGGGUUUAUUUACAUUGCGAAGAAAAAAAGAUACCCUUCCCCUACCCCUAACCCUAACCCCACCCCUAACCCUAACCCUAACUCUAACUAAACCUAACCUUAAAAUAGAUUGAAAUGCAAUAGAUCAAUACUAGGGUUAUAAUUAUGGGUGACAUUUUCAUUUGACACAGCUAGAAAAAAUCCCAUUUUCCGUAGCGGUGUCGUAUGAAAUUGUCACCCAUAAUUAUAACCCUAGUAUCGAUCUAUUGCAUUUCAAUCUGUUUUAGUGUUAGGUUUAGAGUUAUGGUUAGGGUUAGGGUUAAGGGUUAGGGGUGGUGGAAGGGUAUCUUUUUUUCUUCGCAAAUGUAAAUAAACCCAAUCAGUUUCUUAAACGAGGGACAAAUUCAUACAGCACGGUAUGUUUUCACCCCAAAUGGACGUAUUUGAUUAGGCUUUCCCUAAUGCCUGUCUGCCAAAAUUCAAGAAAUUCCAGUAGUGCUUGUGAAUGUCCAUCCCGAACUUUAUCUGGAUACCAACUUGGAUUUUUUUUCAAUCCAGUUAUACCAGAUUUGAUCAUCAUCAUUUUUAUUUUCAGUAAGCAUGGGGUUUUCUGACUCCUCAUUAUCAUUUUCUUUCAAAAACAUAUUCCUUUGGCUUGUGAUGGCAGACAAACUGAAAUAACCCUGGAACUAGUUUAUUUUUGUCAAAAUUCUUAGUGGGCAGAAACUCAGUCCACACUCUAAUAUUGUCCAGUGAUAGUCUUAGCUUAGAUUUUUGACCAACUUAUUUGUUCAUACAUGAUAUGAUGGAUUUUCUUGGAUAAGUGUUUUUCACAAUAUUACUUUCAUUAGAUUCUUGACUACCUUUUGAGUUUUGCUUGAAUCAUUCACUUAAAACAUGGAACCUAUUGUGUGAUAAAAAUUGCUUUGAAUGUUCAUGUGAGAAGUCGUAACUUUUAGUUUUCUUUCUAGGAGUAAUCCAUUUCUGGGAGGGUGAUAGAAAGUGAGUGACUUUGGUUUUUGUUACUUUGGUUACUUUUGGUUUUUGUUAGCAAUUGGAAAACCUUUACUUUCGAGUAAAAAACAAGAUUUAUUGUUCUUGAGGUAAAAUCUUAAAUGUGCUUGCAUUUUUGACUGAUCAAAUAAAAACUUCUCUGGAGAGUUUCCAAUGACUAGUUCAAAUGCAUAUGCCAGGACAAAAAGACCUCAAUCAUAUGCACCAACUUGGGGAUUAGUAAUAUGAACUUGUUGAACUGUAGGAAUUAUAUUUGUUUGUGGCAGUUACAGCAUUGUUAUCUGUGCUGUUAGUUCCUCUUAUACUGGUAAGUUCAAACUGUCAUAAACAUAGACAUCUCUAAAAAAAAUUGGUUGACAAACCAAAAUGAUUGUUCCUGGUGUGAUGAAUGAACAAUAUGUAGUGUGGACUGUAUGUUAGAAAUUUCAUGCAAGAAAAAAUGGUUGGUUGUAUUCAAAUUUCAGGAAAAUUUUCUGCUAUGAUUUUCAAUUCAGUGUUAAUAAGUUUGUCACAUAACAUUUGUCCUGAAAGUAAAAAUGACUUCUCCUCAUAUUUCAACGCAAAUGUUCUCAGUCAAAAUAUUCCUUUGCUCAUUGGCUCAGAGGAAUAGGAAAUCAGCUUUAUUAUCUUCUUUUCCAUUUUUGUCUUCAGGGAUAAAAUUUCUGUUUUUUCAAAGUUCACCAGACAAUUACACAAAUAGCUGAAAUGAUUUUGAGAACAUACCUGUUCAAGAACACUCAAAUUAUUCUUAAUGUCUGCACCAAUCAAUAUUAAUUUUGUACAAUAGUGAUGAAUGAUAGAUUCUGUUAAGUGAAAUUAAUUGCUCUCACUAAUCAGUUUAAACUUUUUAAGCAAUGAAUUGUCAAGCUGUGAUGCACACAUUGGGAUAUUUGAUGUAAGACCUUCAGAUAUAAUCUGUUUUCAUCUGCAUGUAUCCAGAAAUGAUAAAUGGCUUUUGAUUUUAGCACAAAAACGAUUAUUUUCUCAUUUUGAGAUUCAUAUUUGAAUGGUACAAAAUCCAUUGACCAAGGAUUGGGCUCAACACUGGAGUCAAGCAAAACUAACAGGGCUGACAAGCCAACUGUAAGAAAGAAUAAAUUGCAAAAACUAUAAUUUAUAUUGCGAUUUUCUUUAGACACCCAACUGUUUAGGUAACUUCCAGAAUUUCUAAAUGUUCCAAUUCUUAUUCAGUGUAACAAAAUCAACCAUCUCAAUCUGCUUGAUUUUGAUAUUUUAAAAGGAUUGACAUAACUCUUCAUAAAGGCUAAUAGACAAUAUGAAGAGUGUGAUAUAAUUGCAAUAGGCAUUUUAUUGGUUUGAACGAUGUUUUGACAGCUUGCCUGUCUUUGUUGAGUUCAAAAGGAAAAGUGAUACAUAGAAAUUCAAAUUCAAAUGUUUAGAUGAGAAGAUCCUGCAUUCCCACUUUGACAGAAUUACAUCAUCAGUCUUCAAUUUUCAAUUUUACAACUGGUAAAAAGAAAAAGAAGAAUAUGCAAUUAAACAACUUUGUGUAAAUAUGAUGAAAUUCCCGUCAUUUUGUUAAUUCCUUCAGGGCAUGAUGUUAAUAACUCACAAAAAUAUUUGUCCUUUUUAUAUCCUUCUACACAUUGGAUGUACAGAUUUCACAAAGCAGUGAUAGACACAACUGUAUUCACACUACAUACUUCAAAUUACUCCACUAAACACAAUACUCCAAUAAAUACAAACUUUCAAUGAUCUCAACGACUUCCACGAACUCACAAUGGCUCCUACAACUUCACCCUCUCAACCAAUAUGCUACUGUUUAUAAGAGUUUGGUUAGUCCAUUCUUCCUGUCGCAUGGGGAUGUCUGUGACUCUUGCCACAUCUCCCCUUUUGAGAUUUACUUCCCAGGGAAGUUUAAUAUUUUUUU
This 3037-nucleotide long non-coding RNA is filed under the name Octopus vulgaris (common octopus). The record is from RNAcentral. Lineage: Eukaryota; Metazoa; Mollusca; Cephalopoda; Octopoda; Octopodidae.